AAUAGACUUGCGGAGUCUAGUAAAUUAAAAAAAAUCAUAUAAAAGUAAGGCUAGGCGUUCGUUAGGCCAUG
Molecule: small RNA, 71 nt
Filed under: Salix viminalis (osier)
Lineage: Eukaryota; Viridiplantae; Streptophyta; Magnoliopsida; Malpighiales; Salicaceae
Source: RNAcentral